This 497-nucleotide ribosomal RNA is filed under the name uncultured bacterium. RNAcentral describes it as "partial 16S ribosomal RNA". It matches the Rfam family "Bacterial small subunit ribosomal RNA", at positions 28 to 507 of the family's 1533-position model. The record is from RNAcentral.
GAUGAACGCUGGCGGCGUGCCUAAUACAUGCAAGUCGAGCGAACGGACGAGAAGCUUGCUUCUCUGAUGUUAGCGGCGGACGGGUGAGUAACACGUGGAUAACCUACCUAUAAGACUGGGAUAACUUCGGGAAACCGGAGCUAAUACCGGAUAAUAUUUUGAACCGCAUGGUUCAAAAGUGAAAGACGGUCUUGCUGUCACUUAUAGAUGGAUCCGCGCUGCAUUAGCUAGUUGGUAAGGUAACGGCUUACCAAGGCAACGAUGCAUAGCCGACCUGAGAGGGUGAUCGGCCACACUGGAACUGAGACACGGUCCAGACUCCUACGGGAGGCAGCAGUAGGGAAUCUUCCGCAAUAGGCGAGAGCCUGACGGAGCAACGCCGCGUGAGUGAUGAAGGUCUUCGGAUCGUAAAACUCUGUUAUUAGGGAAGAACAUAUGUGUAAGUAACUGUGCACAUCUUGACGGUACCUAAUCAGAAAGCCACGGCUAACUACGUG